UACAGAGGUCUCAAGCGUUGUUCGGAUUCAUUGGGCGUAAAGGGUGCGUAGGCGGCGCGGUAAGUCGGGUGUGAAAUCUCGGAGCUUAACUCCGAAACUGCAUUCGAUACUGCCGUGCUUGAGGACUGGAGAGGAGACUGGAAUUUACGGUGUAGCGGUGAAAUGCGUAGAUAUCGUAAGGAAGACCAGUGGUGAAGGCGGGUCUCUGGACAGUUCCUGACGCUGAGGCACGAAGGCCAGGGGAGCAAACGGG
Molecule: ribosomal RNA, 253 nt
Filed under: uncultured bacterium
Lineage: Bacteria
Description: partial 16S ribosomal RNA
Rfam family: Bacterial small subunit ribosomal RNA
Source: RNAcentral